CUGAUACAUUCCUUCUGGCUAAGUUUACACACACACACACACACACACUUUCUUUCUGACAAUGUUAAACCAGAAAGGCUUCCUUUUAGAUUACUGUGACUUUUCCUUUUAUUCAAUUUUGUGAUAAGCCACAUGCCCUCCAGUGCUAACUAACCUUUACUGCACAACUUCAUGUUUGACAUCAAGCCCAAAGUAUUUAGAACUGAUGAAGCUUUCCAAACACACCUUGACAGGCAAGUAGACUUGUUUUUGUCUCAUUCAUUUUCGAGCUCUACCUUCCCAGUAGAGGUUCAACCCCUUUAUCCUAUUCUCAAUUGGCAGCAUCUCUAUCCACAAGGCCCUUCCUUUUAU
This 351-nucleotide long non-coding RNA is filed under the name Salvator merianae (Argentine black and white tegu). Its description in RNAcentral is "lncRNA (ENSSMRG00000006651.1)". The record is from RNAcentral. Lineage: Eukaryota; Metazoa; Chordata; Lepidosauria; Squamata; Teiidae.